UUGAANUGGGGGCACCCUGAUCCAGCCAUUCCGCGUGAGUGAAGAAGGCCUUCGGGUUGUAAAGCUCUUUCGGCAGGAACGAAACGGUUACGGCCAAUACCCGUGACUAAUGACGGUACCUGAAGAAGAAGCACCGGCUAACUACGUGCCAGCAGCCGCGGUAAUACGUAGGGUGCGAGCGUUAAUCGGAAUUACUGGGCGUAAAGCGUGCGCAGGCGGCUUUUUAAGCCAGAUGUGAAAUCCCCGGGCUUAACCUGGGAACUGCAUUUGGAACUGGAAGGCUAGAGUGCGGCAGAGGGGGGUAGAAUUCCACGUGUAGCAGUGAAAUGCGUAGAGAUGUGGAGGAAUACCGAUGGCGAAGGCAGCCCCCUGGGUCGACACUGACGCUCAUGCACGAAAGCGUGGGGAGCAAACAGGAUUAGAUACCCUGGUAGUCCACGCCCUAAACGAUGUCAACUAGUUGUUGGAGGAGUGAAAUCCUUUAGUAACGAAGCUAACGCGUGAAGUUGACCGCCUGGGGACUACGAUCGCAAGAUUAAAACUCAAAAGAAUUGACGGA
This 559-nucleotide ribosomal RNA is filed under the name uncultured bacterium. RNAcentral describes it as "bacterial SSU rRNA". It matches the Rfam family "Bacterial small subunit ribosomal RNA", at positions 364 to 917 of the family's 1533-position model. The record is from RNAcentral.